GGGGUAGAUGACUGCCUGGUAUGGAAUCAGUGUUCAGAAAGCUCUUCUGACUUCGAUGGUUGCAUAAAAGAGGUCACUGUGUCCGGCCAUGCAAUUGAUCUGGCGAGAAGUUUUAUCGACGCCAGGAAUGUAGAAAACUGUCGAAUAAAUGAACCAUAACUCUAA
Long non-coding RNA from Aedes aegypti (yellow fever mosquito), 165 nucleotides. RefSeq lists it as uncharacterized. The record is from RefSeq and is a predicted model, not a curated record. The transcript is spliced from 2 exons. NCBI's taxonomy places the organism in Eukaryota, Metazoa, Arthropoda, Insecta, Diptera, Culicidae.